Molecule: ribosomal RNA, 377 nt
Filed under: uncultured bacterium
Lineage: Bacteria
Description: bacterial SSU rRNA
Rfam family: Bacterial small subunit ribosomal RNA
Source: RNAcentral
AGACGUAGGGGGCGAGCGUUGUCCGGAAUUACUGGGCGUAAAGAGCACGUAGGCGGAUGUUUAAGUCAGGUGUGAAAGACCGCAGCCCAACUGCGGGGUUGCACUUGAAACUGAAUGUCUUGAGGGCAGGAGAGGUCAGUAGAAUUCCUGGUGUAGCGGUGAAAUGCGUAGAAAUCAGGAGGAAUACCAGUGGCGAAGGCGACUGACUGGACUGACCCUGACGCUGAGGUGCGAAAGCGUGGGUAGCAAACAGGAUUAGAUACCCUGGUAGUCCACGCCGUAAACGAUGGAUACUAGGUGUGGGAGGUAUCGACCCCUUCCGUGCCGCAGCAAACGCAAUAAGUAUCCCGCCUGGGGAGUACGGUCGCAAGGCUGAA